Molecule: ribosomal RNA, 253 nt
Filed under: uncultured bacterium
Lineage: Bacteria
Description: partial 16S ribosomal RNA
Rfam family: Bacterial small subunit ribosomal RNA
Source: RNAcentral
UACGAAGGGGGCUAGCGUUGCUCGGAAUCACUGGGCGUAAAGCGCACGUAGGCGGAUCGUUAAGUCAGGGGUGAAAUCCUGGAGCUCAACUCCAGAACUGCCUUUGAUACUGGCGAUCUUGAGUCCGGGAGAGGUGAGUGGAACUGCGAGUGUAGAGGUGAAAUUCGUAGAUAUUCGCAAGAACACCAGUGGCGAAGGCGGCUCACUGGCCCGGUACUGACGCUGAGGUGCGAAAGCGUGGGUAUCAAACAGG